Molecule: ribosomal RNA, 243 nt
Filed under: uncultured bacterium
Lineage: Bacteria
Description: partial 16S ribosomal RNA
Rfam family: Bacterial small subunit ribosomal RNA
Source: RNAcentral
GUCCACGCCGUAAACGAUGCGCACUAGACAUUGGAAGUAUCGACCCUUUCAGUGUCGGUGAACCAAGCUAACGCGUUAAGUGCGCCGCCUGAGGAGUACGGCCGCAAGGCUAAAACUCAAAGGAAUUGACGGGAGCCCGCACAAGUGGUGGAACAUGUGGUUUAAUUCGACGCUAAGCGUGGAACCUCACCAAGGCUUGACAUCUAGCUGCAAGCCCUAAGAAACUAGGGCCGUCUUCGAGAG